CUGGCCCCGCUCCGCCCGGCCCGGCCCGGCCCUUAACAGCGGCGCCGUCCCGGGACGCCGUAUGUGAUCCGGGAGGGCAGCGCCGCACCGCCCCGCACCGCCCCGCACCGCCCCCGCGCACCAGCACCGCACCGGCACCCCGGCUCGGCCCCGCGGAGCUCCGGAGCAGCCGGCACCAUCCCCACCCCGGCACCCCACCAUGAGCAACCUCAACAAGGACACCGAGCACACCAACGGCGGCGGCACCGUCGAGGAGGAGGUACGGACGCUGUUUGUCAGUGGCCUUCCUGUGGAUAUCAAACCCAGAGAGCUCUACCUUCUCUUCCGACCAUUCAAGGGUUAUGAGGGGUCACUGAUCAAGCUGACUUCAAAGCAGCCAGUGGGUUUUGUGACCUUCGACAGCCGGGCUGGCGCUGAAGCAGCCAAGAACGCCUUGAAUGGCAUCCGCUUCGACCCCGAGAACCCCCAGACCUUGCGGUUAGAGUUCGCUAAAGCCAACACAAAGAUGGCCAAGAGCAAGCUGAUGGCCACACCGAACCCCACCAACAUCCACCCUGCCUUGGGUGCACAUUUCAUUGCACGGGACCCCUAUGACCUGACUGGAGCGGCUCUCAUCCCAGCGUCUCCGGAAGCGUGGGCUCCCUACCCCCUGUACACCACGGAGCUGACCCCUGCCAUCCCCCACGCCGCCUUCACCUACCCGGCCGCAGCUGCCGCGGCCGCCGCUCUUCACGCUCAGAGCUGAGUUCAGCAUCGGGGAGAGGAGGUGGCCUGGCCUCCUGAAGAGCUGCCCAGAGGGCUGGCAGGAGGGAUGAGGGGCAGGAGGUGGUGAGAGGCUGGCCUGGCCUCGGGAACCCUUGUGAACUCCAGCCAUGAUGCCAGCGCAGGCUAGCCCCGAAGCUCAGAGCUGUCCCUGGAGAUGGGACGCCCUAGUGAUGCCUUAUUGCAGCUAGUGGAGUGGCUGUACUACAGCUCCAUUCCUAGAAGUGUUAAGCAUGAUGGCAUCCACGUCUGGAAAGACUGGUAAGAUGCGCUGGUAUCCUCCCUCUGAAGCUACCCAGCAAGGAUGGAAGUCUCGUCAGUUUUGUUAGUUCAUUACGUCUCUCCUCGGCUCGUGUUCCUCCUCCCUGCCUCUCCGCAGAGGGAAGUGCCAGGGACGAUUUCCUCCUCCCUGCCUCUCCGCAGAGGGAAGUGCCAGGGACGAUCGCUCCGGCUCCUCUGGAUUUGGUACGUGGCCAGAGGACAAGGUGCCUGGCCCCGCCGCGCUGCCCCCGGCGCUGCCAGCACCCCUUUCCCUGGACUGUGAAGCCAUCGUGGCCCAGCCAUGGGCUGUGCGCUGCCUCCACCCCUCUCUCCAUCCCUCCCUCAGGCCAUUCCCAGGACCUCCUCCCUGCCUGAGCUUUGCCAUCCGGCUGCACUGAAACCCAGCCGGGGGCCAGGUCCUGGGCUUCCCCAGGCUCUCCCUGCUCCGGGGGCAGCUCGGCUGAAGGAAUCGAAAGGCAAAAUGGGUUUUGCAUGUUUUCUGGCAUGAAUUAAAACACUUAACUUGUGUCUGUGUGAGUGUAAGUUUGUUUGUUCUAGCGUUUGUGUAACCGUUAGCAACAGGUCUUGGCCCAACGGAUUGAUCCAUCAAGGUUUUCUUCUUGCUUUGGUGAAGACUUGGCUUUGAGAAAUACUAACUGUCCUUGUCUCACCCCUUCUCCCACCUCCACCCUUCCCUCCCUAGGAUGACCAGAAAAAUUUCAAAAAUGCUUUUUUUUUUUUUUUUUUUCCUUUUUUUUUUUAAAGUAUGAUGCACUGGGUUUUUGUUCUCAUCCAUUCUGCUUGUUUUAAAGUCAGGGUUAUUAUAUUAUUUUUUUCCUUCUUCAAACUUCUAUAUAUAGAACAGCUGUAAAAUAUCUAACCUCUUUUUUUUUUUUUUUCCCACAUUCUUCUGAUUGGAGAGCAUCCAGUCUUGCCAAAUAAUCAGCCAUCCUUAUGGGAAUACCGAACAAAAAAAAAAAAGUACGAGUAUUUUUGUACCAUGUGUAAUAAGGAAAUAUUUAUGCAUCAUAAAGAAUUUCUUGUGUGUUUGUGUGCAAUUAAUUAUUAUUAUUAUUAAAGAGAAAUUGUAAUCCUGUAAGAUAAGUUAAUGUUUAGUUAAAAGCUUGAAAAAGAAGGGUUGUCUUCUGUACCAAUGAUUCAGUCAGGCAUAGUAAACAAGAAAUUGUGCAAUUUUUGUUUUAGCAUCUUAUUGCUUGGUAUUGAAGUGCUUGAAGUAUUAUCUGACCAUGGCUGUCUCGCUUGUAUUAAAAGAUUUGAGAAUAAGUUGCUCUAUAAUUGCUGAUCCUAUGAGAAUGUGAAACUGGAUAAUAUAUGAAAUGCAACCAAAAAAAAAUAUAUAUACCCAGAGGCUGCUGUGA
Pyrgilauda ruficollis (rufous-necked snowfinch) is the source of this 2402-nucleotide RNA transcript. It is a transcript of the gene named RNA binding protein, mRNA processing factor 2, with no coding region annotated. NCBI's taxonomy places the organism in Eukaryota, Metazoa, Chordata, Aves, Passeriformes, Passeridae. The record is from RefSeq and is a predicted model, not a curated record. The transcript is spliced from 10 exons.